Syngnathus typhle (broad-nosed pipefish) is the source of this 4227-nucleotide long non-coding RNA. RefSeq lists it as uncharacterized. The record is from RefSeq and is a predicted model, not a curated record. NCBI's taxonomy places the organism in Eukaryota, Metazoa, Chordata, Actinopteri, Syngnathiformes, Syngnathidae. The transcript is spliced from 2 exons.
ACUGAAAGCGACCUGCAUUGGGUUUAUUGCAGCAAAUUCCUCCUAGCUGCGCUUCGUCGCCUGCUCAUGUGUCUGGAAAGGUAGAUGGAAAGAACUUCCCGACUCCGCAGGAUUACACACGAGCACUAGACAUCAGCAACCUGCUGGGGCGAACUCUGAGCGUGUAGCAAUCCCUCACAUCCUCUUUUCGUCCCUUGAACGCAUUGGACGAUAAAUUUACGUUCUCUUUUGUAUAUGCUUCAAUAGACUGGAUCGAUUUGACAAUGUUGAUUUAUGGUAGGGCCUUACCUUUAAUGCUAGUGUGUGUGUUGUUUUUGGAGCAGGAUGGCUCCUACAAAAAGGUCAAGAGCAAAAAUUUGUCAUAAAUGGAGCAAGCAUAAUGCCUUUUUGUUUAUUGAAAAAUUGUCACAAAAACAGCAUGCUCGAUUGUUUGCUGUGAGUCAGAAUUCUGGAAAUACUCAAUGCUGUUCUGAGUAAACUGACCAUAUAUGGUCUUUUGCAAGACAAAAGACAACUGAACAAAAACAAUCCUGUUCCUUCAAAUUAUCCUUGACAUAAGUGUGGCAAGUUGGCAACACUUUUUAAAAUUACCUUAUCAAUAGAUUUUACAACACUUUUUAAAAGUACCUGAUCAUUGGAUUUAGCAUAGUUGUUAAUUUUUCAUCUUAUCUUUGAAACUAGACAACAAUUAAGUUGUUUUAUUUAGACCAUUUGUGGAGUGUGGAGAUGACUUGUGAAUGAUAUGUAUUGUUUGUACAGUAUGUACUAUUUUUAUGAGGUGUAUGUAAGAUGCACAAAAAAAUUCCCUUGCGUGACAAGCUUCAUGGACCUGCCUAAGUUUGGAAUUGAAUAGACGCCUCUCGUUUCAAACAAUGUGUUUUAACAAUGUGUUUAAAUUUUGUUUUUGUUACACACUUAAUCCAUUAAAAUGAAAAAAAAUUAUUAAGUAAAAAGGACUACAGUAUACAUAUAAAAAAACAAUUCAACUAGUUUAAUGAUUUUUACUUGUUUUAUUAAAUUGAUGGGAAAACACCCAAUUGUUCAAAAUGGAAAACACAAGAGUGGAGUUCUGCAGUGUCAUCAACAACACCAUGAUGCUCAACUUUCCAGAAGCUGCUAAAUCAUUCAUUAAAAGCAGCCGUUCUUUGGCCGUAACAGGUGUGGUUCCAAUGCUAUCAGAACAUCACCUUUAACCAAAUAGUUUGUGGGUAAUGUGACACUUCAACAAAACAAAACGCAGGGAAAUGAUUCCAGUCUCGAUAGCAAGUGCAGGAUGAGCAAUCUUUGUACAGAUUGGCCAAGGCCUCUGGUGAGCAAUUGACAAUAAGGCAAAUGCAGCAGAAAACAGUGGAGGACACAUGUCACAUAAAUGAAUAAUCUAAAUUGACACCUCUGUGGGGGUUAAAAUGGAUAUGUAAAAUCAAGUUGUGUGGGCUCAUCUUUUAUACACUAGAUAUAUUUGGUUAAUCUGAAAGGUACUUCAUUUGGAAACAACCUUGUCAAUAAUCAGAGCACUCCCAACUACCUCACCCAGUUACUAUAUAUAAAACAUGCCCUCAACCGGUGUGUGUGUGUGUGUGUGUGUGUGUGUAUAUAUAUAUAUAUAUAUAUAUACGAUAUGGACAAUGCUCUCAAAGUGGCUGACAGAACAAAGAUUAUGCGUGUCCUCAGGAACUGAAACCCAGUCAUCCAGCCAACAUGUAAACAGGCCAGCUAGACUUGUUUAACUGGUGUAAGAUGAGACUGGAACGAGUCGGUGGGAAAGGCGACAGCAUCACAUUAGACAGGCAGUGAGCUCCAGAAAAACAUUAUUAAAUUAUAAAGUAUAUCACACCAAUAAAAGAUUAAUAUUACAGUUCAGGUCAGCCAAGCAAGAAAGGAGAAUGACUCUAUGUUGUUAGCUUCAGAACAUGUCCAAAUUAAAUUGAUACAAGGUAAGAGUAAAUGUUUUGUUUCAGCUGUUUCUAUAAAGUCAGAGCCUUGAACAUGUUUUACUUUCUGUUCUCAUGUGUAAUGUCAGCCUGUGAUUGUUAAGAUACUUAAGUCUUCUUCUUCAGCUCCUCAAAGCGUCGCGUUAGGUCAUCAAAGUCGAUGUCAUCCGAAGUGCUUGUGGUGGUCUUCCCGCCGAAGGAGCCUGCUGGGAGUGUGUCUGGGACCGAAGGAAGUUCUGGGAGAGCGUUGUUGCCAUAUAUUUGUGACGGCUGACCUGCAGUGGAACAUGUGGGGGCUGUCAAAUGAGCUGGAAACAAUGUUUUGCUAUUUUAUUUUGGACAGUGACAUGACAAAGCAUAACACAGGUACAUGACAAGUCAAAUGUAGCAACAUUGUCCUCUGAAUAACAUUUGGUAGAGCUUCCUUUUGCUUAAAUUAGAGACAUUGAUCUUUAUGGAUAAGUCUCAAUUAGCUUUGCCCGCUUAGAUAAUUAUUUGCCCAUUCUUCCUUGCAGAAUUGCUCGACUUCAAAUUGUCAAGGUAUCAGCGAUGGUCUGCUCUCGUCAAGAUAAUCCUGGUCCAGUUAAUAUAACAAAUGGUGUUGGGGAGCCAUGCCAUUGAGCCAUUGCUAUGACAGUGAAUAGCAUUUUCCAUGACAUAUUUCAUGAGAUGAACCUCUGGGUUUCAAGGGCCAUACUGAAUACAGUAAUUAGUAAGACUUACCUAUGGUCUGGGAUGGAACAGAGUUUUUUAUGUCAUCAAUCUGAAACAGAAGAAGGGUGCCUGUGACAACAUCGCCUUAUAAGAAUGUCGGUUAUAAUGUGUUAGUGCUUAGUGUAGGAAAAGAAACAAAGGUAACAUGCUUGUGGCGCUCAACGAGAAACCAACACCUUUAGUGUGCAUCAGCCUUCGGGCUAGCUUGAGUCUCCGCUGCAGCACUCUUCUCAGUCCUAUCUAAUCCCAGGUCAGUUAGUGGGAUCACUGAGUUGUUAGUGCUUAGAAUAUGUACAAGCCAUUCAUGCUGCCUACUUAUGUGCACACAAAGCAAAAAUGUCAGCCUAUUCAGGGAAAGUGGCAGAAGUGCAGAGGUAAAAGCUGAAGCUAAGUGAACAACUCUUCCCUGAGUGAUGCCCUGCCUGCCCUGUCCAUCCUGUCCGUCUUUGGGAACAGGGAGGGAUCAUGGAUGGGAUGAGUUGGGUGACUUACAGACUCGUAUGUGGGGGGAGAAGUGGGCAGCUGAGGGGGCUGCCCUCCUCCCACAGAGGGCGGGAAGCUGUUGUACGAUCCAAUGGCUGGAGCGAACGGUUCCUGGAGGAAAACAUGACCACGAAUUUCACUCAUCAAACAAAUAGGGUUAGGAAUCACGACGUGACCUGCAAACACGUGUGAUCAGAUUUUUCAAAAGACAACGAUAACUGACAAUUUAGCAUCGUUUCAAACUAUAUUUUUGCAAAGUUAAUCAUCUUCUAAGUGAACAUCUAUUUUCUGUACUUUGUACAUUAUCCAAGGUUGUCAACACUUGGUUCUUUAAAAUAAUGUCAUUCAGCUACAUUUGUGAACUUGUCUGGACGCUCUGGGGGAAAACAAAGGAGCAGUGAGAAACAGAGCAAGCACAUGUGUGACUUUGCAAAAAUUGGUCUCAUUAGUUGUUUAAAUACACUAGUUUAAAAAAAAAAAAAAAAGCAAAACAAAAUAUUUCACCGUCUAGUUUUUUCAUGUCAGUGUGACGUAUUCAAUUGAAUGAAUUCCUUUCAAUAGAAUUAAAAAUGCUAUAUACAACAUGACUGAAAGUGUCUAAUAAUGCACAUGGUUAGAAUCUAAACAAGGGUUUGAAAAUAUUGAUCUUACUCCUUUGGGAGUUGGAUAGUUGAAAGGCGUAGGCAUGGGCAUGGGCAUCGGCAUGGGCAUUGGCAUGGGCAUGACAGGAGCCAUGAAACCACCACCACCACCACCACCACCGCCUCCGCCUCUGCCUCCCCCUCCGGACUUCUUGUCAUUGUUCAUGUCGAUCAGGUCUGCUUCAUCACAACUCACCUCAGGCUGUCAGGGAGAAAAUGUUAUGACGCUAACUAAAAGACAACAUCCUGAUUGGGACCUCAAUCUAUUCUUACCCGGACCAUGGCAUCAGGUUCAUACGGCACAUUGUAAUUUUUGGCUAUCUCAAUCAAGUAGCGCUCCACCAAGAUUUUAGGGGGAGACUCCACGCUCAGUUUGUGAAUCAGCUGCAAGCAUAUCAGACAUUUUAUCAGACUUGGAGUGCUGGCAUAUUUCUUGGCUUAAAAGAGUCAAGGGAGUC